This 377-nucleotide ribosomal RNA is filed under the name uncultured soil bacterium. RNAcentral's name for it is "bacterial SSU rRNA". It matches the Rfam family "Bacterial small subunit ribosomal RNA", at positions 26 to 431 of the family's 1533-position model. The record is from RNAcentral.
AGAACGAACGCUGGCGGCAUGCCUAAUACAUGCAAGUCGAACGAACUCUUCGGAGUUAGUGGCGCACGGGUGCGUAACGCGUGGGAAUCUGCCCCUUGGUUCGGAAUAACAGUUGGAAACGACUGCUAAUACCGGAUGAUGACGAAAGUCCAAAGAUUUAUCGCCAAGGGAUGAGCCCGCGUAGGAUUAGCUAGUUGGUGAGGUAAAGGCUCACCAAGGCAACGAUCCUUAGCUGGUCUGAGAGGAUGAUCAGCCACACUGGGACUGAGACACGGCCCAGACUCCUACGGGAGGCAGCAGUAGGGAAUAUUGGACAAUGGGCGAAAGCCUGAUCCAGCAAUGCCGCGUGAGUGAUGAAGGCCUUAGGGUUGUAAAGC